GUCGAACGGAGCGCCCGGACGGAGUAUUUCGGUACAAAGACCGGGUGGCUGAGUGGCGGACGGGUGAGUAACGCGUGGACAACCUGCCGUGUACAGGGGGAUAACAGCCGGAAACGGCUGCUAAUACCGCAUAUGCGCACAGUGCCGCAUGGCACAGUGCGGAAAGCCUAGAUCUUAUCUAGUACGGUACACGAUGGGUCCGCGUCUGAUUAGGUAGUUGGCGGGGUAACGGCCCACCAAGCCCACGAUCAGUAGCCGGCCUGAGAGGGCGGACGGCCACACUGGGACUGAGACACGGCCCAGACUCCUGCGGGAGGCAGCAGUGGGGAAUAUUGCACAAUGGGGGGAACCCUGAUGCGGGGGGGCCGCGUGAAGGAAGAAGUAUCUCGGUAUGUAAACUUCUAUCAGCAGGGAAGAAAGAGGACGGUACCUGACUAAGAAGCCCCGGCUAACUACGUGCCAGCAGCCGCGGUAAUACGUAGGGGGCGAGCGUUAUCCGGAUUUACUGGGUGUAAAGGGAGCGUAGACGGCCAUGCAAGCUCGGUGUGAAAGGUGCGGGCACAACCCGCAGACUGCACUGAGAACUGUAUGGCUGGAGUGCCGGAGGGGCAGGCGGAAUUCCUGGUGUAGCGGUGAAAUGCGUAGA
Molecule: ribosomal RNA, 646 nt
Filed under: uncultured bacterium
Lineage: Bacteria
Description: bacterial SSU rRNA
Rfam family: Bacterial small subunit ribosomal RNA
Source: RNAcentral